AUGCACGCUUGCGGCGUGCCUCACCCCUGCCAGUCGAACGGAGUCGUUUUGGAAAUCUCUUCGGAGAUGGAAUUCUCGACUUAGUGGCGGACGGGUGAGUAACGCGUGAGCAAUCUGCCUUUAAGAGGGGGAUAACAGUCGGAAACGGCUGCUAAUACCGCAUAAAGCAUUAAAUUCGCAUGUUUUUGAUGCCAAAGGAGCAAUCGGAUUUUAGAUGAGCUCGCGUCUGAUUAGCUAGUUGGCGGGGUAACGGCCCACCAAGGCGACGAUCAGUAGCCGGACUGAGAGGUGGAACGGCCACAUCGGGAAUGAGACACGGCACAGGCUCCUACGGGAGGCAGCAGUGGAGAAUAUUGCGCAAUGGGGGAAACACUGACGCAGCAACGCCGCGUGAUUGAAGAAGGCAUUAGGGUUGUAAAGAUCUUUAAUCAGGGACGAAAAAAAUGACGGUACCUGAAGAAUAAGCUCCGGCUAACUACGUG
This 482-nucleotide ribosomal RNA is filed under the name uncultured bacterium. RNAcentral's name for it is "partial 16S ribosomal RNA". It matches the Rfam family "Bacterial small subunit ribosomal RNA", at positions 29 to 507 of the family's 1533-position model. The record is from RNAcentral.